CUUUCUUUUCCGAGAAGGAAGUCUUGGGAGAUCUUCCGGUUGUCCCACCCCCUCAACCAUGUAUACACUGAAGUUCGGCUCUGCUUCUCAGAAUGCAUACCCUAAGAACUGCUUGAGGUUUUGAGCAACUUCCAGGACUCACAUGUGUCCUCGUGGUCACAUGGCGGCUGAAUGACAGAUCCCCUGAACAAGACACACAAGCUGUCAGAAGAAUUUGUAGGAUGGGACUUCAUCCAUGAAUAUCAAUUCUCUACCAUCGUGUUGAAAAUGCUGACCCUCUUUAUUGCUGCCUGUUGGAAUGUUGACUGAUGUUGGCUUGGUUUCGUGAUAUCAUGUGAGCAGACAUACCCGG
Long non-coding RNA from Microtus oregoni (creeping vole), 352 nucleotides. RefSeq lists it as uncharacterized. The transcript has 3 exons. The record is from RefSeq and is a predicted model, not a curated record. NCBI's taxonomy places the organism in Eukaryota, Metazoa, Chordata, Mammalia, Rodentia, Cricetidae.